Doryrhamphus excisus (bluestripe pipefish) is the source of this 1342-nucleotide non-coding RNA. Lineage: Eukaryota; Metazoa; Chordata; Actinopteri; Syngnathiformes; Syngnathidae. The record is from RefSeq and is a predicted model, not a curated record.
GACAACAUUGUAAGCUAGCUGAAAUUAACUCGUUUUUUUUGUGUUAUAAUGCACAAAAAAUGGAAAGUAAUAUGCGUUCAUGUUUCACAUAAGAAUUGUGCAUGAUUCAAAAUAAGUGCAGUUCCCCUUUAAGGACCUCCAAAAUACUCUCCAAAAAAAAACUUGUCAAAGAUCCUCUAUACAACAGGAGCGCUCUACUGUUUUUAAUGACGUACACGCUACACAAGGAUCCUAUGCGAGCCGUUUUGACCAAGGCUUAGGGGUGCAAAAAUGUUGUAGCUUGUUGCCUUCAGGUGAUGUGGGGAAACAACAAAAACACUAACGAAACAAGAUUAAAGUAUCUCUUAUUUUUCCAUUUCUGUUUCCUCAAUGCAUCCUGUUAAAGGGACAAACCACCUGUUGCUAUGCGCAAAAUGUAGCUGAUUUCCAUGUUAGCCCACAAUACACAAACAGUCUAAUCGGUUGAAUGUGCAGACUACGUGUGUCUCAUCAAUAAUUCACAGCUUUAUCAGCAAAGCGCUCCACUGACCUAAUUACAGACAAAAGCUUUGAUUUUGGUGCCCUCUGUUGUAGAUAUUUGUUUUUGGUUUAUAUUUUUAGUCAAGAUUUUAGCCUUCUAUGAAUGCCAGCUGUAAUGGGUAUGAGGAUGAUUGAGGUUAGCUAAUCGCCAACUAGCUAACUAGCCUGCUAGUUUGGUUUACAUUCACAUUUCUAACCCGGGGGAAGCUCAGUUAAAGAGGCAGGAGGAUCGUCAGAAGAACUGACCGAACACCGUCGUCCUCAGUGGGCCGAUAAUAGCAGGAGAUGUCGCCAACGUCCACAGAAUGUUUUUGUGCCACCGCUCGUGAGGAUAAGCGGCAUAGAGAAUGGAUGGAUGGAUGGAUGCUCACAUGUGUGCACAAGUUCAGGCAUUCGGCACUGCAGCUCUGAGAAGGAACAAUAAGUCCUGCUGUUUUCCCUCCAAAAGUCUUCUUCCCACAAUCCAUUGCAGUCUACAGUAAUUUACACUAAUGCUCUGGUUUGAUAAGUGAUUUUAAUGUCAAUUACUGUUACCAAAGCACUGUCGAGAGUACCGCGUUAGUACAUAUUAGCCAGUCACAGUAAAAUACGGUAUGUAUUACAAACUGGUUAAUCAUAGUAAUAAUCACAGUAAUGCACUGCUCAUAAUACGGUGUUAUUGUAUACUAUUGUUAAAGUGCAGUAAUAUAUUGUAAUAUGAUUCACAGUAAAUUACUUAUUAUUUACAGACUGGUGUUACUGUGAAAGUUUGUGUAAUUUACAGUACUCUAAUGUGAAAACAUUUACAGUAAAUUAGUGUCAACACUACAAUAGUCCAUUGUAG